Molecule: ribosomal RNA, 277 nt
Filed under: uncultured bacterium
Lineage: Bacteria
Description: partial 16S ribosomal RNA
Rfam family: Bacterial small subunit ribosomal RNA
Source: RNAcentral
ACUCCUACGGGAGGGAGCAGUGGGAAUAUUGCACAAUGGGGGAAACCCUGAUGCAGCCAUGCCGCGUGUGUGAAGAAGGCCUUCGGGUUGUAAAGCACUUUCAGCGAGGAGGAAAGGGUGUGUGUUAAUACCAUACAUCGUUGACGUUACUACGCAGAAGAAGCACCGGCUAACUCCGUGCCAGCAGCCGCGGUAAUACGGAGGGUGCGAGCGUUAAUCGGAAUUACUGGGCGUAAAGCGUGCGCAGGCGGUUUGUUAAGCGAGAUGUGAAAGCCCC